This 254-nucleotide ribosomal RNA is filed under the name uncultured bacterium. RNAcentral describes it as "partial 16S ribosomal RNA". It matches the Rfam family "Bacterial small subunit ribosomal RNA", at positions 524 to 776 of the family's 1533-position model. The record is from RNAcentral.
CACGUAGGGGGCAAGCGUUGUCCGGAUUCAUUGGGCGUAAAGAGCUCGUAGGCGGCUUGACAAGUCGGGUGUGAAACCUCCAGGCUCAACCUGGAGACGCCACUCGAGACUGUCAUGGCUAGAGUCCGGUAGGGGACCACGGAAUUCCUGGUGUAGCGGUGAAAUGCGUAGAUAUCGGGAGGAACACCAGAGGCGAAGGCGGGCUACUGGGCCGAUACUGACGCUGAUGCGCGAAAGCCAGGGGAGCAAACGGG